This is a long non-coding RNA of Erpetoichthys calabaricus (reedfish), 3061 nucleotides long. RefSeq lists it as uncharacterized. Lineage: Eukaryota; Metazoa; Chordata; Cladistia; Polypteriformes; Polypteridae. The record is from RefSeq and is a predicted model, not a curated record. The transcript has 3 exons.
UGGAACAGGUUGCAGACUAGUUGGAUUGAAUUGCUGGGUAUGUCAGACUACACAACAGCCAUUAAUUGGAAUACAUUGCGAUUGCAUCCGUCUCCCUAUGAUUAUGUAAAUGAAGUCUGCAACUGGAAGUUGCCUGAAAAGUCCUGUAAUUUUAUGGAUGAGUUGGACAAUGUGGCUUAGCUAUUUAUUAUUAACAUACUGUAGAGUGAUACUAACUGCAAUUUUCAGCAUACCUAAAAACAAAAUGCCUGACAAUAAAAAGAAGAAACACGCUUUCACCUUGCUGUAAUGUCUGGAAUGAAGAUGAGUGUCAUUUUCAUUCUUUAUAUGAUGACAUAUGAACUGCUUUGUAAUUCUAGGUGUUGAAACUGACAGAAUCCUGAAAACUAGAUUGAAACAAGCCAGACAUUCUUUUUCUUUUUGUAAUGCAAAUGACUGAUGUAAUGAGCGUUCGCGAUGAUCACAAGCAGCCGUAAGUCUUUUUGACAGCGUCAAAGUGAUGGGACAUCACCUGCCAGUGUUCACAUCUUUGUCACCUCUUUGGUCCUCUUUUAACAGGAAGGGCAUUCAGUGAGUGCCUGAGAGGAGGUGGCGAGAGUGUAUUAUUCCCCAAUAAAAGUAUGAAAUUAAGCAGCACAAAGAAAGCGCCCAGUGAGGACAACUGACUCCGCCCCUUCCAGUCCAGAAGCUAUAAAUUCUGCUGCUGCCUGGAGGAGAUGUUCAGUCUUGCACUGAACCAAACACAAGAAGAACUUUCUUCCUGACUACCUUUCAAUCACCUAGCCUGAUAGCAGCCCUCUUUUGAUGCCUUCCUGUUGGUGCACAUAACAGCCCUCAUUUUUGUUUGACUUAAAUAUAAUACUUUUGUUAGAAUUAAAUGGGGAUGACCAUUUUCCAGUGAUGACUUGCAAUUAGUUCCUUUACUCAACCACAACUGAUUGCUCUGUAAAAUUCUUUGGGAAAAUUCCCACUCUGAAUAUCACUUCAUAAAAUAAUGAUUGAUUCCUAUAUAAAAUUAUGAUAGAUCUCAGUCUGAAUGGUAAAAACAUAACCUAGCAUAACAAUCUUAAAUCUGCUUGCUCUACUUCAGUGUUCCGAUGGGACUAGGGCUUCAUUUGUGAAGCUUGCGUACAAGAAAAAGAGGCUUGAAACAUGCAUGUGCAACUUCCCACACAAACGUUGGGAUUUAUAAAAGAAAAGGUGACGGGGAACAUGCGUAUAUUUACAGUGGCUCUGACCUAUGCAUAUGCAACAUUUUGGAGAAACUGGAAAAUAACAACACUCUUCAUCAAAUGGGUAAAACCAGCUAAAUUCAUAGUAAUAUGUAUCAUCAAACUGUUACUAUAAUGUGACGUGACAGACGUGAUGAUGUAUAUGGUGCUUGGUUUAUUGGUUAGGUAACUGGCUAAACCCUCAGUUUUUUAUAUGGCCUUUACUAUUCAUUGUAACAGCAAUCAUGUCAUUGCAUGUGUCAGAUAAUAGUGGUUACCUGCUCAGACGCCAGCACCUUAUGCCUUUCUCUGACCCCCAGAAUGCAGAGGAGAGAUGCUAUAAUGCUGAGCAUUAUCUUGCAUUCUCAGAUUAUUCAGAUAAACAUGAAUGUAGGUGGCGGUGUCUCAAUGCGUCAAGUGGGAGAGUGCUGUACCAGCAAAUGAGGUUCUGUUGCAUCGUGAUUGCAUAUUUAUAAGGUUAAAUAGCAUGCUCUAUAUAUGGAUGUUUCAGGGCAGUGUUCAAGGCACGUUCAUGUAAAACACUUUUACAAAGUGAUUGUAAUUUAUAAAAGGUAAAUUGCAUAAAAAUAUCAGUAUGCCAGGUUUUAUUAAUGUGAUAUUGUUUUUUGCCAUACACAUUUUCCUGUGGCGUGCACAUAUUUUCACAUUAGAGUCAACACAAAGUUUUGUGAAUGAGACCACUGGACCGUAACCAGGCAACAACCAAUCCUGGAUGGAACUCCAGUUCAUCACAGGGUGAAUUCCUGCAUUCAACGGGGUCCAAUUUAGAAUUUCCAAUUACACCAAUAUGGACAUCUUUGGAAUGCCUGAGUAAACCUGAAGUACCUGCAGAAAAAAAACAAUGUAGACAUGAAGAGAAUGUGCAGGCUCCCCAGAGAUGGCAAGCAGGCAGGAAGGAAGGAAUCUCUGUAACAGGAGUGCUAACCACAACAUCUCCACACUUUCCACUCUGCGUGAUGCUACUGUAUAUAAAUUAAAGAUUGACUAUUUGGUAUCAGCAGACCCCCGUGACCCUGUGUUCAGAUUCAGCGGGUUGGAAAAUGGAUGGAUGGAUGGAUGGAUAUUUGGUAUCAGAGAUGUUUGUAGCAAUAAUCACAGUGAAUGGUGCUUUAAAAUAUAUGAUAAACAACAUUCUCUAAAAGCAUCAGACUGGGUUCACAUCACAUGUUUAAUAUUUUGAGACAAGUAAAAGAGUAACAUUUGUCCAAUUAUUGCACUGAAGCAGUUAACCAGAAUAAUUAAGUAAAUGAGUGCCUGUGAAGGUAAAAAAAUGGAAAAUCUUGCCCACCUCCCCUGAAGGAUUCAAGGCUAAUAGGUAUUAGACACAGCUUUAAUGAGCUGAUUACCAGCUGCUCAGCUAUUAAAUGAUGGUCUCUAAUGAGAUGGACACAGAGGUCCCCUGUGCCUGACCAUCAGGAAAGUUCUAAAAUCCUUUGAGCCCCAUCCUCCCUCCCUCCUGCUCUUCCAGGUGGGCAUUGCAAGUCAAUGCCUAAAUUUACAAUGGUAUUGUUCCAUGGUUAAAAAAGAAAAGCCCAAACUGAGUGCCUUGGAUCAAGGAUGGUUCCUGUCAUGUUGUGUUAGGUUAAUUACACCCGAUGUUAGAGAGGACAAGGCUCUGAAUGAUUCUGUGCUUAAGGGAGCAUGUUUUGUCUUGUGUUGUUCACACCACUUAACGGUUGUGAUCUUAAAUAAUGCAUAAGCCAGUCAGCUGCACAAGCCAGGGUGUCACGGGGUGCAAGUCACCCUUGAAAUCAGUAAUGGAGCAUUGCAUAUGGCAAGUAUGCAUCACCAGCUACUGUACUAACACAUGGCCAACCCUCCGGACAGUC